RNAcentral lists this transfer-messenger RNA (355 nucleotides) under Lysobacteraceae. RNAcentral's name for it is "GCA-002840015 sp002782905 Standard tmRNA". It matches the Rfam family "transfer-messenger RNA". From Rfam's summary of the family: Bacterial tmRNA, also known as 10Sa RNA or SsrA, is named for its dual tRNA and mRNA-like properties. Its role is to liberate the mRNA from a stalled ribosome. Lineage: Bacteria; Pseudomonadati; Pseudomonadota; Gammaproteobacteria; Lysobacterales. RNAcentral also lists the same sequence under 1 other name. The record is from RNAcentral.
GGGGGUGUUUCGGCUUCGACGGGGGUCGCGAAAUCGACCGGUGCAUGCCGAGGGGGCAGCUUUCCUCGUUAAUCCAGCGGCAAAACUUCAGACGCCAACGACGACGUCUACGCUCUCGCCGCUUAAGGCGUAAGCCCUGAACCCGUUUGUGCUCGUGCUCGCGGAUGUAGGGUCAUUAUCACGGGAUCGCUUAUCGCGGCUGCCUGUCAGCGAAAGGCUAAAACAUAACCGGCUGGUUCUCUGGCGUGCUUCGCACACCGUGCUGUCAGGGAACGAGAUCCAACGGUGAGCUAAGCAUGUAGAGCCGGAGACGUAGGGCUUUCGGACGGGGGUUCAACUCCCCCCACCUCCACCA